UACGAAGGGGGCUAGCGUUGCUCGGAAUCACUGGGCGUAAAGGGCUCGUAGGCGGCCAACUAAGUCAGACGUGAAAUCCCUCAGCUUAACUGGGGAACUGCGUCUGAUACUGGAUGGCUUGGAUUCGGGAGAGGAAUGCGGAAUUCCAGGUGUAGCGGUGAAAUGCGUAGAUAUCUGGAGGAACACCGGUGGCGAAGGCGGCACUCUGGACCGAUAUUGACGCUGAGGAGCGAAAGCCAGGGGAGCAAACGGG
This 253-nucleotide ribosomal RNA is filed under the name uncultured bacterium. RNAcentral's name for it is "partial 16S ribosomal RNA". It matches the Rfam family "Bacterial small subunit ribosomal RNA", at positions 524 to 776 of the family's 1533-position model. The record is from RNAcentral.